CCUACGGGUGGCAGCAGUAGGGAAUUUUCGUCAAUGGGCGCAAGCCUGAACGAGCAAUGCCGCGUGAACGAGGAAGGUCUUCGGAUCGUAAAGUUCUGUUGAAGGGGAAAAAGAGCGGAGAGAGGAAAUGCUUUCUGAUUGAUAUUACCCUUCGAGGAAGUCACGGCUAACUACGUGCCAGCAGCCGUGGUAAUACGUAGGUGGCGGGCGUUAUCCGGAAUGAGUGGGCGUAAAGGGUGCGUAGGCGGCCUGGUAAGUCUGGAGUGAAAGGGACCGGCUCAACCGGUACAGGGUCUGGAAACUUGCGGGCUAGGGGGGAGGAGAGGGAGGUGGAACUCCAUGUGUAGCGGUAAAAUGCGU
Molecule: ribosomal RNA, 360 nt
Filed under: uncultured bacterium
Lineage: Bacteria
Description: partial 16S ribosomal RNA
Rfam family: Bacterial small subunit ribosomal RNA
Source: RNAcentral